RNAcentral lists this ribosomal RNA (1345 nucleotides) under uncultured marine eukaryote. RNAcentral describes it as "SSU rRNA". It matches the Rfam family "Eukaryotic small subunit ribosomal RNA", at positions 411 to 1779 of the family's 1831-position model. The record is from RNAcentral.
CACAUCUAAGGAAGGCAGCAGGCGCGUAAAUUACCCAAUCCUAAUUAAGGGAGGUAGUGACAAGAAAUACCAAUAUAAGGCGUAUUCGCUUUAUAAUUGGGAUGAGCACAUCCUAAAUUACCUUGCGAGUAUCAAUUGGAGGGCAAGUCUGGUGCCAGCAGCCGCGGUAAUUCCAGCUCCAAUAGCGUAUAUUAAAUCUGCUGCGGUUAAAACGCUCGUAGUUGGAUAUCUGUUCGGAAAACUCAGGUCCACCCAAGGGGUGUGUAUCUGAAUCAACCGUGACAAGAAACUCGCGAACAUGCAUGCACUUAAUUGUGCGGCGAGAUCUCGAGAACGCUUACUUUGAGGAAAUGAGGGUGCUCCAAGCAGGCUAUGGCCUUGCAUACGUUAGCAUGGAAUAAUAGGACAAGACGUUGUUCCGAAGUGGUUAGUUUUCGGUCCGAUGUAGUACUAAUAGAGGUAGUUGAGGGCAUUCGUAUUUAAUUGCUAGAGGUGAAAUUCUUGGAUUUUUUAAAGACGAGCUACUGCGAACGCAUCUGCCCAGGAUGUUCUUCUUGAUCAAGAACGAAAGUUAGGGGAUCGAAGACGAUCAGAUACCGUCCUAGUCUUAACCAUAAACCAUGCCGACUAGAAAUUGGGGUUGUCAGAGUCUUGACGUCUUCAGCAACUUAGGAGAAAUCAAAGUCUUUGGGUUCCGGGGGGAGUAUGGUCGCAAGACUGAAACUUAAAGGAAUUGACGGAAGGGCACCACCAGGAGUGGAGCCUGCGGCUUAAUUUGACUCAACACGGGGAAACUUACCAGGUCAAGACAUAGAGGGGAUUGACAGACUGACAGCUCUUUCUUGAUUUUAUGGGUGGUGGUGCAUGGCCGUUCUUAGUUGGUGGAGUGAUUUGUCUGGUUAAUUCCGUUAACGAACGAGACCCCCGCCUGCUAAAUAGUUGGGUGAAUGCAUAGCAUUGACUUCAGCUUCUUAGAGGGACUUUCGGUGACUAACCGAAGGAAGUUGGGGGCAAUAACAGGUCUGUGAUGCCCUUAGAUGUUCUGGGCCGCACACGGGCUACACUGUGAGGUUCAACAAGCUUCAAACCCUUGUCCGAUAGGACUGGGCAAUCUUUUGAAAUUCUCACGUGAUAGGGAUAGACUAUUGCAAUUGUUAGUCUUCAACGAGGAAUUCCUAGUAAACGCGAGUCAUCAACUCGCAUUGAUUACGUCCCUGCCCUUUGUACACACCGCCCGUCGCUCCUACCGAUUGGAUGAAUCGAUGAGCCGUUUGGAGAGCGUGGGUGAAACCACUUCGGUGGUGGAACUUGUGUUCAAAAUCUUGCAAAUCUGUUCAUCUAGAGG